RNAcentral lists this ribosomal RNA (497 nucleotides) under uncultured bacterium. RNAcentral describes it as "partial 16S ribosomal RNA". It matches the Rfam family "Bacterial small subunit ribosomal RNA", at positions 28 to 507 of the family's 1533-position model. The record is from RNAcentral.
GAUGAACGCUGGCGGCGUGCCUAAUACAUGCAAGUCGAGCGAACAGACGAGGAGCUUGCUCCUCUGACGUUAGCGGCGGACGGGUGAGUAACACGUGGAUAACCUACCUAUAAGACUGGGAUAACUUCGGGAAACCGGUGCUAAUACCGGAUAAUAUAUUGAACCGCAUGGUUCAAUAGUGAAAGACGGUUUUGCUGUCACUUAUAGAUGGAUCCGCGCCGCAUUAGCUAGUUGGUAAGGUAACGGCUUACCAAGGCAACGAUGCGUAGCCGACCUGAGAGGGUGAUCGGCCACACUGGAACUGAGACACGGUCCAGACUCCUACGGGAGGCAGCAGUAGGGAAUCUUGCGCAAUGGGCGAAAGCCUGACGGAGCAACGCCGCGUGAGUGAUGAAGGUCUUCGGGUCGUAAAACUCUGUUAUUGGGGAAGAACAAAUGUGUAAGUAACUAUGCACGUCUUGACGGUACCUAAUCAGAAAGCCACGGCUAACUACGUG